RNAcentral lists this ribosomal RNA (1338 nucleotides) under uncultured bacterium. RNAcentral's name for it is "bacterial SSU rRNA". It matches the Rfam family "Bacterial small subunit ribosomal RNA", at positions 28 to 1387 of the family's 1533-position model. The record is from RNAcentral.
GACGAACGCUGGCGGCGCGCCUAACACAUGCAAGUCGAACGAGCGAGAGAGAGCUUGCUUUCUCGAGCGAGUGGCGAACGGGUGAGUAACGCGUGAGGAACCUGCCUCAAAGAGGGGGACAACAGUUGGAAACGACUGCUAAUACCGCAUAAGCCCACGGGUCGGCAUCGACCAGAGGGGAAAGGAGCAAUCCGCUUUGAGAUGGCCUCGCGUCCGAUUAGCUAGUUGGUGAGGUAACGGCCCACCAAGGCAACGAUCGGUAGCCGGACUGAGAGGUUGAACGGCCACAUUGGGACUGAGACACGGCCCAGACUCCUACGGGAGGCAGCAGUGGGGAAUAUUGCACAAUGGGGGAAACCCUGAUGCAGCGACGCCGCGUGGAGGAAGAAGGUCUUCGGAUUGUAAACUCCUGUUGUUGGGGAAGAUAAUGACGGUACCCAACAAGGAAGUGACGGCUAACUACGUGCCAGCAGCCGCGGUAAAACGUAGGUCACAAGCGUUGUCCGGAAUUACUGGGUGUAAAGGGAGCGCAGGCGGGAAGACAAGUUGGAAGUGAAAUCUAUGGGCUCAACCCAUAAACUGCUUUCAAAACUGUUUUUCUUGAGUAGUGCAGAGGUAGGCGGAAUUCCCGGUGUAGCGGUGGAAUGCGUAGAUAUCGGGAGGAACACCAGUGGCGAAGGCGGCCUACUGGGCACCAACUGACGCUGAGGCUCGAAAGUGUGGGUAGCAAACAGGAUUAGAUACCCUGGUAGUCCACACCGUAAACGAUGAUUACUAGGUGUUGGAGGAUUGACCCCUUCAGUGCCGCAGUUAACACAAUAAGUAAUCCACCUGGGGAGUACGACCGCAAGGUUGAAACUCAAAGGAAUUGACGGGGGCCCGCACAAGCAGUGGAGUAUGUGGUUUAAUUCGACGCAACGCGAAGAACCUUACCAAGUCUUGACAUCCCUUGACAGGCAUAGAAAUGUGUUUUCUCUUCGGAGCAAGGAGACAGGUGGUGCAUGGUUGUCGUCAGCUCGUGUCGUGAGAUGUUGGGUUAAGUCCCGCAACGAGCGCAACCCUUAUGGUCAGUUACUACGCAAGAGGACUCUGGCCAGACUGCCGUUGACAAAACGGAGGAAGGUGGGGAUGACGUCAAAUCAUCAUGCCCUUUAUGACUUGGGCUACACACGUACUACAAUGGCGUUAAACAAAGAGAAGCAAGACCGCGAGGUGGAGCAAAACUCAGAAACAACGUCCCAGUUCGGACUGCAGGCUGCAACUCGCCUGCACGAAGUCGGAAUUGCUAGUAAUCGUGGAUCAGCAUGCCACGGUGAAUACGUUCCCGGGCCUUGUACA